Molecule: long non-coding RNA, 2599 nt
Filed under: Malus domestica (apple)
Lineage: Eukaryota; Viridiplantae; Streptophyta; Magnoliopsida; Rosales; Rosaceae
Description: long non-coding RNA (MDOM_LNC007556)
Source: RNAcentral
UAGUUUAUUUGUUUUACUUUCAACUUCACCAAACCCAAAUCCCCCUUUUUACUUUCUUGUUUUAAAGUCUUUGGUUUAUAUUUUUAACUUUGUUUCUUUUUGAUUUUGAGUCAGUUUAGAGGUUUUAGCAAGCCCUCCUAAUCCCCGGUUUAGAAUGAUCCCUACUUACAUACUUUGCUACAAUUGUCAAAAGAGGGUUUAAUUUGUGUGCUUAUAUAUUUCGCAUCACCUAGCUAAAACGAGUUUAGCUCCUCAUGUUCGCAAAACAAAGAUAAAUUAAAUUAAACAUUGGAAACAAAGGAUGGAUUACACCUAAAAACAUUCCAGCAAUCCAAGCUUGAAUGGCAGCACAUCCAAGGGUCCUCUUUCUUCUUCUUUGCUGCGGCACAAGGUAUAGGUAUAGGGUUGAGAUGGAUUGUAUGAAAGGAUGUGUGUUUAGAAUGGGAUGUGUUGAUUGAUUCCCUAAAGGCUACAGCAAUGGCCUUUAUUUAUAGGGGAAUUUAGCUAAACCCUAAUUAAUUUUGGAGACAGAUUUAUAUACCAAAUCCUCAAAGAAAAAGGUAAUUAAAUGUCAGAAUUCAAGGAAGAAGGGGAAAGAAGGGUGUGGCAGGAUCCUAGAGGGAAAAGGGAAUGCCUUGCACGGCAAGGGAAAGAGAAAGAGAAAGGGAAAGGGGUUUGUGCGGCAAGGAAGAAGAAUGAGGAAAUAGGUAAGGACAAUGCAGCAAGGGCUUUUAGCGAGGCAAUGGGCGAUUGUUACUCUUAACGAUCGAUUGUGAAUUGAAACCUACUUUCAAUUCUCCCUUUAGUGAUUAUACACAUUUAGGGCUUCCACAAACCAUGAGUGACACCUAGUAGUAUGUCAUGGUUACCCAAGCUAAUCAUAAGAGGUGGAGAACCUAUUCAGUUUAGGAUUACAAUGCAAUACUGUUUUUCUCUAAUACAAUACUCUUGACCACAUUGUUUGGUUUGAUAGUUUAAUCAUGUCUACUAUCCAAUGUGAUUCAUUUACUUAUAUGAUUACCUUGAAUGUGAUUUGGAACGACUUCCUAAAUCUCAUUCAUACUCUGGCCAGAGAUUCUUAAUCAUAUCAUAGAUUAUUCUCCCUCAAACAGUUUGAAGGUUAGAGAUACCUUGUUGCGCAUUCACUUGCCUCCAUGGCUAAGUGGCUUAACCCCAACUAUGCCGUGGACACCCUCUGACAGAGUGACUUUGACAUAGUCAACGAUCAAGGAUCUAACCACAAGACAACUAUGAUGCCUCAAGUCCAAAGACUACUUUGCAUUAUCCCAACCAUGAGUUCUCAUGUGACAUGAGUAUGAGAACUCCUCAUUGAUCGUGUUCAGUGGACUCAUUCUCUAUUGAGCACUUACAUGCUUGUCUUGGUGUCAAUCACACCAAUGACUCGAGACCAGUCACUCUCCCUAAGAGAAGACACAGCACGUACUGAUUUUAACAGACUGUCAAUGCCCAAUUGGCAAUCCUAUGAUCAGGAACGUUUAUAUUGAUGGUAGUGAUGGUAGUAAGUACAUUAGUGCUGAGAUAUAUUUUGAGAUUAUUAUCCUACUGUAAACACGGGAAUUCCUGCGAUGAAUGAGACAAGAACACGUGUACAAAAUAAUAUUUGUAUUAAUGAUUUAGGGGUUACAAUCUCUUCUACGAAUUUGGCCUCUGAUUCUAUCUUUGAAACGUGUAGAUGUAGUGUUGUUGAUCCAGGGGCCGUCGAGGCUUGAUCUUGGACGAACAGUUGAUGAAUGAUGAACACCUUCUUCAAGGGCCGUCGGGGCUUGAUCUUGAAUGGGUGGAAGUUCUUCAAGGGGCGUUGGGGCUUGAUCUUGAAGGAGGAUUUCACGAAGAACGAAGAGGGCUUUCUUGAUCCUUCGGGAUUUGCUUGAGAGCUUCUAAGUUUCGAGGCUUCAAGGCUUUGGUGUGGUGUGACUUCUCUUCCAAUUUGGGAGUAGAGAAAGUGUAUGUAAAAAUCCCCUCCUUGAUUCUUUGAUGGAGGAGCCUAUUUAUAGGCUUUGGGAAUGAACCACCACCAUCCAUUUGUUUUAGUGGAUGUUGUAGGUGAAUUUGGGUGUAUGUUGUAGGUGAAUUUGGGUAGGUGAAUUUGGGUGGAGGUUGUAGUUUUAAUGCAAUGGUCAACAUUUAUUUCACUAAAAUUUCAAUGUUUACAAAUGUAAUUUUAAUGUGAUGGCUAACAUUUAUUUCAACGAAAUUUCAAUGUCUACAAAUGCCCCCACUUCAAGGCGCGUAGUAUACAUGUGCUUGCCACGUGUAGAAGAUGCGUUUUGAAGUCCCUUAAUGUAGAUGUCGAUCCAAGGGCCGUUGAGGCUUGAUCUUGAACUGGUCUGGGAGUUUCUUCAAGUGCCGUUAAGGCUUGUUCUUGAAUUUUGUUUGAAAUUUCUUCAAGGGCCGUUGAGGCUUGAUCUUGGAUGAAAUUGGACCACAAGGAGCUUCACGUAGUAGACGAUCCUUGGCUUUGAUAAUGGAUGAAUCGGCACAUAUUUUGUUGUGCUUGUUGACUUUCCACAGCUUUGAUCUUGAACUAAGCUGGAGGAGUUUUCUGGUUUCCUCCAACGGACUUUCCACAGACUUAAUC